UGUUAUAAAAAUUAAAGAAUUGUUGUCUUUUUACCUUAUUAUAGUUAGAGUAAAAGUCUUGUUUAAGUAAUUCUUCAUCUAUGAUAAACUUGGUACUAAUUUGGCAAUUUGAUUUGAUUCUAGAUUUGAGAUUUAGGAUUGGGCCAUCUUGAGGAAAAUAGUCCCAUCUUUCAUUAUCAUUAUCUGAUUCUGAAUGAAGAGAUUGAAUUUCAUCAUCCAAAGUAUCCUCUGAACUCAAAUUCAUCUUGUUAGGGUUAAAUGAAGGAUUCAAAUGUUUCCAGGG
RNAcentral lists this long non-coding RNA (283 nucleotides) under Elaeis guineensis (African oil palm). Its description in RNAcentral is "long non-coding RNA (EGUI_LNC065732)". Lineage: Eukaryota; Viridiplantae; Streptophyta; Magnoliopsida; Arecales; Arecaceae. The record is from RNAcentral.